RNAcentral lists this ribosomal RNA (519 nucleotides) under Cutaneotrichosporon mucoides. RNAcentral describes it as "eukaryotic LSU rRNA". It matches the Rfam family "Eukaryotic large subunit ribosomal RNA", at positions 156 to 664 of the family's 3401-position model. The record is from RNAcentral. Lineage: Eukaryota; Fungi; Basidiomycota; Tremellomycetes; Trichosporonales; Trichosporonaceae.
ACGUGUUUUCCGUGCUGGACCGUAUCUAAGUCCCUUGGAACAGGGUAUCAAAGAGGGUGACAAUCCCGUGCUUGAUACGACCACCAGUGCUCUGUGAUACACGCUCUACGAGUCGAGUUGUUUGGGAAUGCAGCUCAAAAUGGGUGGUAAAUUCCAUCUAAAGCUAAAUAUUGGCGAGAGACCGAUAGCGAACAAGUACCGUGAGGGAAAGAUGAAAAGCACUUUGGAAAGAGAGUUAAACAGUACGUGAAAUUGUUGAAAGGGAAACGAUUGAAGUCAGUCGUGUUCUUUGGAUUCAGCUAGUUCUUCUAGUCUACUUCCAUUGAACGGGUCAACAUCAGUUUUGUCCGGUGGAUAAAGAUAGUAGGAAUGUAGCUCCCCCGGGAGUGUUAUAGACUAUUAUUGCAUACACUGGGUGAGACUGAGGACUGCAGCUCGCCUUUUGGCCGGUCUUCGGACACGUUCGAGCUUAGGAUGUUGACAUAAUGGCUUUAAACGACCCGUCUUGAACCACGGGAC